Molecule: long non-coding RNA, 1022 nt
Organism: Oncorhynchus tshawytscha (Chinook salmon)
Lineage: Eukaryota; Metazoa; Chordata; Actinopteri; Salmoniformes; Salmonidae
Source: Ensembl
GUGGUGGUUGUAGUGGUGGUGGUAGUGGUGGUAGUAGUAGUAGUGGUGGUAGUACUAUUAGUUGUGGUGGUAGUAGUAGUGGUGGUAUUGGUGGUUGUAGUGGUGGUAGUAGUAGUAUUAGUAGUGGUUGUGGUGGAGGUAGUAGUAGUAGUGAUGUUGGUGGUAGUGGAGGUGGUGGUAGUAGUGCUGGUGAUAGAGGUGGUGGUGGUGGAGGUGGUGGUAGUAGUGGCGGUGGUGGAGGUAGUAGUAGUGGUGGUAUUGGUAGUGGUGGUUGUUUUUAGUAGUUGUGGUGGUGGUUGUAGUAGUAGUGGUGGUGGUGUUGGUAGUGGUCGUGGUAGUAGUGGUGAUAUUGGUAGUGGUGGUUGUAGUAGUAGUAGUAGUGGUGGUUGUAGUGGUGGUUGUAGUGGUAGUUAUGGUGGUGGUAGUUGUGGUGGUGGUUGUAGUCCUAGUAGUGGUCGUAGUUGUAGUAGUGGUGGUAGUUGUGGUGGUGGUAGUAGUAGUAGUGGUAGUAGUAGUAGUGGUGGUGGUGGUGGUUGUAGUGGUGGUAGUAGUAGUAGUGGUGGUAGUACUAUUAGUUGUGGUAGUAGCAGUAGUGGUAGUAGUAGUGGUGGUAUUGGCGGUUGUAGUGGUGGUAGUAGUAGUAUUAGUAGUGGUGGUGGUGGUGGUAGUAGUAGUAGUAGUGAUGUUGGUGGUAGUGGAGGUGGUGGUAGUAGUGCUGGUGACAGAGGUGGUGGUGGUGGUGGAGGUGGUGGUAGUAGUAGUAGUGGUGGUAUUGGUAGUGGUGGUCGUAGUAGUAGUUGUGGUAUUGGUAGUGGUGGUUGUAGUAGUAGUAGUGGUGGUGGUGGUUGUUCUAGUAUUAGUGGUGGUGGUGUUGGUAGUGGUGGAGGUGGUAUUGGUAGUGGUCAUGGUAGUAGUAGUUGUGGUGAUGGUGGUGGUGGUAGUAGUAAUAGGUGGUGAUGGAGGUGGUGGUGGUGGUAUUGGUAGUGGUCAUGGUAGUAGUAGUUGUGGUGAUGGUGGUGGUG